RNAcentral lists this ribosomal RNA (253 nucleotides) under uncultured bacterium. Its description in RNAcentral is "partial 16S ribosomal RNA". It matches the Rfam family "Bacterial small subunit ribosomal RNA", at positions 524 to 776 of the family's 1533-position model. The record is from RNAcentral.
UACAGAGGCCUCGAGCGUUAAUCGGAGUCACUGGGCUUAAAGGGUGCGUAGGCGGCCCCGCAAGUGCUUUGUGAAAUCCCACGGCUCAACCGUGGAAUCGCUUGGCAGACUGCGGGGCUUGAGGUCGGUAGGGGUCGCCGGAACUCUAGGUGGAGCGGUGAAAUGCGUAGAUAUCUAGAGGAACGCCAAAGGUGAAGACAGGCGACUGGGCCGAUUCUGACGCUGAGGCACGAAAGCGUGGGGAGCGAACGGG